GAAACCGUUCAGGGGUAAACCUGAGAAACCCAAAAGUUCGAAUGGGGAGAUUCAUCGGCAGCGAAGCUGGCUCCCGUUGUUGCGUGAUACCCUGACUUUGGGGCCUUCGUGGUUCCAAUGCGAGGGCACACCAUCUUCGGUGAACGUUCCGGCUAUAUGUAGUCGUGCACUUCUCCCUUAGUAGAACGUCGCGACCCGUUGCGUGUCGGUCUACGGCCCGAGUUGUUUGCCUGGCGCGUCGUCUCGUGCGCACGCGUCAGACACUCGAUCGCCCGGCCGGCUGCGUGACGGUACUCUGACGGUAUCGGGCAGCAACCAAUCCAUUUUCGAAUGUACGUGCGUCAGGCCCGCCGCAAGCUCGGUCAGUUUACCCGGAGGUGUACGGACCUGGUGCCGUCCCCGGGCCUGGCCAGCUGUUUGCAGGCGGUGUCCUUGGACUGGCCAAGCUUCGAAUUACCGGUCGGCGACGCUACUGCUUUGGGUACUCUCAGGACCCGUCUUGAAACACGGACCAAGGAGUCUAACAUGUGCGCGAGUCAUUGGGAUAUAUAAACCUAAAGGCGCAAUGAAAGUGAAGGUCGGCCUUUGCGUCGACCGAGGGAGGAUAGGCCGUGUUACGAUUUACGGCCUCGCACUCCCGGGGCGUCUCGUUCUCAUUGCGAGAAGAGGCGCACCCAGAGCGUACACGUUGGGACCCGAAAGAUGGUGAACUAUGCCUGGUCAGGACGAAGUCAGGGGAAACCCUGAUGGAGGUCCGUAGCGAUUCUGACGUGCAAAUCGAUCGUCGGAACUGGGUAUAGGGGCGAAAGACUAAUCGAACCAUCUAGUAGCUGGUUCCCUCCGAAGUUUCCCUCAGGAUAGCUGGCACUCGCUCGUUCCUACGUUGAACGCAUGCGAGUCUCAUCUGGUAAAGCGAAUGAUUAGAGGCCUUGGGGCCGAAACGACCUCAACCUAUUCUCAAACUUUAAAUGGGUGAGAUCUCUGGCUUGCUUGAAUAUCAUAUGAAGCCACGAGAUUUUGGAUCAGAGUGCCAAGUGGGCCAAUUUUGGUAAGCAGAACUGGCGCUGUGGGAUGAACCAAACGCAGAGUUAAGGCGCCUAAGUCGACGCUUAUGGGAUACCAUGAAAGGCGUUGGUUGCUUAAGACAGCAGGACGGUGGCCAUGGAAGUCGGAA
RNAcentral lists this ribosomal RNA (1174 nucleotides) under Dufourea mulleri. RNAcentral's name for it is "eukaryotic LSU rRNA". It matches the Rfam family "Eukaryotic large subunit ribosomal RNA", at positions 401 to 1266 of the family's 3401-position model. The record is from RNAcentral. Lineage: Eukaryota; Metazoa; Arthropoda; Insecta; Hymenoptera; Halictidae.